Molecule: long non-coding RNA, 1007 nt
Organism: Mustela lutreola (European mink)
Lineage: Eukaryota; Metazoa; Chordata; Mammalia; Carnivora; Mustelidae
Exons: 3
Source: RefSeq, a predicted model, not a curated record
AAAACAUCAAACCAAAGUCAUAUUUUGCUGAGGAAUUUCACAAGACCUGCUUUAGAAAAGAGAGAGAGGGGAAGAGGAGCAGAGGAAGAGGGAGAAAGAAUCCCAAGCAAGCACCAUGCUCAGUGCAGAGCCUGAUGCAGGACUGGAUCUCAAGACCUCAAGAUCACAAACUGAGCCAAAAUCAAGAGUUGAACACCUAAUCAACUGAGUCACCCAGAGGCAUAUACUGUGAAGUGGAAACCCAAAAGAAAAGACAUAAAAGAAUUUGAAAAGAUGACGAAACUAUACAAAUAAAAGGACCAAUAUUCAUUCAUUUGGAUCUUGGGACACUUGGCAAUUUGAGCCACACACAAUGAGCUAUAACCACAGAAUUGAUCCCUAUGACUGGAAAAGGAAUCAAAAUAGCCAGGAAGAAUAAAAGACAUGCUGUUACUUCCAAUUUUUCACCACAAUAAUUUGGAGUCAGCAGGAAGAGGUGCUUAUGACAACCAAGAAACAGAAAUGGCAAGAAAAACAAAGAGACAUGUGAACAAACAAACAAAAACAACCACUGAACAAGACUAGAAGUCACCCAGAAGUGACUUCAAGUGGAAACGGUAAGAAGCUGACACAUUAAUGAAGAAAGAAGCAGACACUGAACAGCAAUGGCCAUAAAAGAAGAAAAAGAAAAGUAGAGAAUAAACUAUUAAAGUAUGGGGUAAUUAACUGAAAGGACAUGCCAAGUCCUAAAAACCUAUAAAAGGGUAUUACCAUGCCAUAUUAAAGCACACCAACAACACAGCAAUCUGGGAACAUUUUGUCUCAAAGAUAUGAGCCAUAUAGACUUUUAGUAAAUACAGAUGAUCUAAUACAGGGUAACUGUCAUGAGCAAUAAUUGAGUUAAGAAAAUGUUCAAAUAUGGCUGACUCUUAUCAACACAAAAAAAUUUUAGCAAGAUUUUUCAAAGCAGUUGGAUCCUAAACAAGUCCUGGCAAUUAAUGGGUAGUUAAUUAACAGAAAAUAUAAUC